AGUCCGUAUCGAUUUCUCAAACGACGACCCUUCCGAGCACGUAUGUGGUGUACCAAGACGCGUUUGGAAGCGCGGGCCUCCUCCGGAAGAAUGGACCGGUCACGGCCGGACUCACCUCCAGCACCUACAAGCUCAUCCUCACCGCCAACGGCAAUUCCAGCAACAACAGCUCCGGCAACGGCACCUCCUGUCAGCUCGAUCUCCAGAUUGAUGUGCUAUGCGUGGAUGUGGAUCUGAAUCUACGCGGUUUAGGUCUGGUGGGCGGCCUGAUUCGGCUGGCCUUUGGAGCUUAUAACCAGAUCAGGCAAACGAUUUCCGCAUCCCUCCAGAACGCGCUGUCCACCAUCGUCACCGAGCUGGUCACCAACGACCUCGCCAACCGCCUCGACCUGGACGCCCUUUGUCAGGCCCUCGCUGCGAGCAACUCUACUUCCUAUCCGCAACCACUAGUCUAGCCGCUGGACUUACCGCUGACUCUAAUACACUGAAAAAAAAAUCUCGGUGUAAUAACCAAGAAAAGAGUAAAAUUACCGAGAGUUCAGGGUUCUAUUUGAUCCCAGUUUUUUCUUGGUAAAAUUACCAUUUAUGGAAUUGGUAAUUUUACCGAGAAAUCUCGGUAAAAUUAUUGGACUUUCUCGAUAAUUUUACUGGACCUUGGUAAAAACGCCAAAUUUUUGUAUCGCUUGUGGUAGAAUUACCGGGAUGAAAUGGUAAAGUUACCCGGAAUUGAUUACCAAUAAAAGUGGUAUUCUUACCUGAAAAAAUCAGUAUAAAUACCGGUUUUUAGGUAAGCUUACCAGUCUGUCUUGGUAACAUUACCAAUAAUUGGUAAAAAAAGUGAGAUGGUAAAGUUACCAACGGACCUUGGUAAAAACGCCGAGAAUUUUGUUUUCAGUGUAUAGUGGCCAUUUUUCAAAGUUCCGAAUGCUGGACGGACUUGGCCCAUUUAAAUUAAUUGAAAUGUUGGUGAAACUGGCUGCGAUUCUAAUUAUCGCUGGACUGUUGGGAGAUUCAAGAGCUGCCGAACUCGAAUCUCAAAAUCAGAUUUCCAAUCCGGGCGUCAAAAGUGGAUGGUACCGGUUGGGAACAUCUGUGAGCGAUGAUAGCAACAUGCUCCCUGAUUUCUCCUUCAGCAAAGUCAUUUCCCUGUUCCAGAAGUUACUUAUGAAUGCUUCAAAAGGCUUCCUGAAUAAUACCCAGCUUUCGAAUUUCAAGAAUACUACACUCAUGACGGUGACGAAACAAAGCGUGGCAGAACUGGGCGAUUUUCCCGUAUCCACGACAACCGCCGAACAGAUGGUCGAGAUCGUCGACCUAAUGGCUAUUUACAACCAAACGGAAGUCCUUUUGGGGCCCCUUAAAGCCGGAGGGAAGCUUUUGGCCCGAUUGAACGGGACCGCGAUGAAAUUAGUCAUGACAGCGACCUCUAGCGGCAACGGUUCCUGUCAAAUUGAUAUCGAGAUGGUGCUUCAGAAACUCGGCCUGGACUUGGAUUUAUCUCAACUCCCUCUUGGCGGCCUCCUCAAAAUAGUAGUAUCGAUUCUCGGUUUGAUUGUGUCGGCACUCGUGGAUCUUCUGAAUCUCGCACUCGGACCGGUAUUAACGAUAUUGCUAGGAAAUCUGAUAGGGCAGGAGAUUAACUUGAACGAUGUGUGUAAACUUUUGCAAGGCUCGCAGGAGGGUCAAUUGAUACCGUUAGCUCUAUUCCCUCUACCCAUAAAUCAAAAUUUGUAAAAAGAGAUUUCUCUUACGGUUCAAGAGCUUUUUCUGAAACGGUUCGAUAAUCGAUCUAAUCAUUGAUAAUUUCUGGGAGCGUCGUGUGAGGAGGACAUGCUGUGAAAUUGAGCAGGGUUGCCACAGAAUUUAGAAAAUGAAAUUCCCUGACACAUUUUGGUAAAAUUCCCUGACAAUUGAAAAUAUGACGUGAAUGUAUUGAAACAUACAGGUUUAAAUUGGAGAUGCUGCCCACUGAUGUUACAAGGUGAUUAAUUUUCUCAACUUUAAAGCAACCUUCUCCGUGAUCCCUCAUCGGAAAAAAAACGGUGAAAUUUGUUUUAAACUCAGCUUAAUUAAUACUACUUUUGCAUGAAGCAAUAACAUUUUCUCAUAUCAGCCGCAUAACCCAUUUUACCUCCUCUGAAAACCCUCCCCUAUUCAAAUUUGUCUGAGACGACACCCCGAAUCAUUUCUGAUUUUUAUGAAUUAUUUUCAAAAAUGUCUCAGAAUUCAGAGAUUAUCAACUGAAUCUUUCAUUUUCAAAAAGUUUCAGGCGAUAGAAAUGACAAUAUGAGAAAAAAUUUUAUGAGAAGAACUUUUUUAAUUGACUCGUCCACACGCUUUUUUCUCAGCUUUACAGUAUUGCAAAAGGCCUUUCUACAAAAAUUUUGUCAUAGAUAAGUCCUGUUUGCUUGGUUCAAUUUAAUACAGUGAUAAUUCAUAGAAUAAAAUAAGCUUAUAAUAUGUACCCAAAUUGCAUCUUGUAAAUUUUCUGCUACCUGAUUAUAAUUUGUUCCUGAAUUUUACGGUUCAAAAAUUGUAUAAAUAUGAAUUGUUUUUUACUUGGCCCAUUACUUUUCCUGGAAAACCCCAAUUGAGAUUAAAAAUGCGGAAAAAGAGUUCUGUUGAUUUUUUUCUUUUUUUUCCCACAAUCUUGAGCUUCACUCAACGCUCUGUAAAAUUUCAGGAAAUACAGCUAGAGUAUUAACUAUACCGAAAAUGCUUUUUUAGAU
This 2729-nucleotide long non-coding RNA is filed under the name Bemisia tabaci. RNAcentral's name for it is "lncRNA ENSSSA1NGG003975". Lineage: Eukaryota; Metazoa; Arthropoda; Insecta; Hemiptera; Aleyrodidae. The record is from RNAcentral.